CUGGAGGCAGUGUAGCAGGGGAAGCCAGAAAGGGGUGGAAAGCUGCAGAGCCAGAAUGCUCACACAACUGAUUCCAGCCUGACCUGAGGAGGGUUGGGAGUGGGGAAGAAUAGGCUCCCAUCAACACCCCCUCUCCCAGGUUUCUAAUGUAAGGGGAGGAGUCAAAUGAAGUCCUUUGAGGGGAGAAGAUUGGGAAGAUCUGGCGGUGAAGAUAGGUGUCAAAAUAACAUGAUGAAGUAAUGACAAGAUGUGUGGUUCCACAUCAUCAGAAGGAAAGUCUGCAGGCACAUUUUAAGAAACCCACUCAGUGGACGAAGCUGAUGAAUGACACCAACAAUCUUAGUCACUGGAGAUAAUUUGGACCUUCAGCAACAGAGGGAAUAGAGGAAAGGUGUAAAGAAGGCCAUUGCCCCAAGGAAGAAGAAGAGCAUCUCUCCUGGAGUGUUAUUUUAUCCCUACUCUGGAGUAAUACUGCAAACAUCUCUUGUUCUAGUAGAAUGCCAGAGCUCAUCUGAUGUCCAGAGAGUGAAGUCUUUUCUCCUCAUUAGAAGCAUGAAGUUUUGGGAAGCAUACAGGACAGGUUGAUUUAUGUGAAACACAGAAAUUACUUUAGGAAUUAAUUUCGGGUGAAGAAGUAUUAAAAAUAGUGUAUGGCGGGUCAGGUGCUCCCAGUUCACUCAUCCUUCUGGCUGAUGUGAUGGCAACUCAAAAUGCAAUCUUCAUGGAAAGAUUCCAAAGGCUGCCAGAAGAUGGACCAAAAAGAGUUACCAGCUGGACCUCCUGACUGGAGUCACCCACUUAGACAUCUACAGACACAGGAUUCCAACUCAGGCCAUGCAGCAACAAGAAGGAACUGGAGAGGGGUUGAUCCAUAUUGCUCCCUAUGCCCUUGGUUUGGCAUAUGAGGGAAACAACUGUUUGGGCACAGACCAAUGGACACUAGUUGCUAGAAAUCUUUGAUCUCAGGUGCAUGGUGCACAUGCAUAUCCAUGUGUGAAAUACACAAAGGGACCAGCACUCAAAGAACAACUGGUCCAUAAGACUUCCGUUCAUUUUAAAAAGCAAAACAUUUGCUAUAGGCUUUUGUAGCUUGCUCCUUUAGUUCAUUCAACCAAAGAAGGGUCUACAACACCAAUUAACAGCUACAUCCUCACCUAAAUUUUAUUGCA
Molecule: long non-coding RNA, 1169 nt
Organism: Mauremys reevesii (Reeves's turtle)
Lineage: Eukaryota; Metazoa; Chordata; Testudines; Geoemydidae
Exons: 5
Source: RefSeq, a predicted model, not a curated record